Molecule: long non-coding RNA, 520 nt
Organism: Lucilia sericata (common green bottle fly)
Lineage: Eukaryota; Metazoa; Arthropoda; Insecta; Diptera; Calliphoridae
Exons: 2
Source: RefSeq, a predicted model, not a curated record
AUCUAUCUAUCUAUCUAUCUAUCUAUCUAUCUAUCUAUCUAUCUAAUCUAUCGCGCUACUUACAAAUGUUUUACGAACCUUAUGUCCAAGGUAUAUUUAUUUUAUAAGGUAGUGUUAAGGGCGAAUUCAAAAAAACUUGGGCGAAUCGAAAUACAACACUGUACAGUAUUUGUUUUUGUUUAGGCGAAUUCUGGUGUAGGCACAAUGUCAAAAACAGCUGAUUUAUAAUAUGAGGCGAAUUUGUAAAAAUUAAAAAAAAAAGUUGUUUGUAAAUAAAAGAUUUUUUGAAAUAUAAUAAAAUUGUUAAAAUUCUUCGAACACUCUUCGGUCUAGACAAGAAAAUGCUAAAAUAACGUUUGUCGGCUGAUCAGUGGAAGGCUUGUUUGCAGCAGAAGGACACAAAGGCUCAACAAUUAUUUAUGGAUAUAAUUAUUUUAAAUAAUUGCCUUUUCAAGUUUUUAGUGAAAUCUUAAACUACAUAGAACUAAAACAGAAUGGAAUAUAUAUCGUCAGUAUAUUA